AUACGUAGGGGGCAAGCGUUAUCCGGAUUUACUGGGUGUAAAGCGAGUGUAGACGGCUGCACAAGUCCGAUGUGAAAUACCGGGGCUCAACCCCGGGGCUGCAUUUGAAACUGUCGUUCUUGAGUGAGGUAGAGGUAAGCGGAAUUCCUAGUGUAGCGGUGAAAUGCGUAGAUAUUAGGAGGAACAUCGGUGGCGAAGGCGGCUUACUGGGCCUUUACUGACGCUGAGGCACGAAAGCGUGGGGAGCAAACAGGAUUAGAUACCCUGGUAGUCCACGCUGUAAACGAUGAAUACUAGGUGUAGGGGGUAUCGACUCCCUCUGUGCCGCAGUUAACACAAUAAGUAUUCCGCCUGGGGAGUACGGCCGCAAGGUUGAAACUCAAAUGAAUUGACGGGG
RNAcentral lists this ribosomal RNA (397 nucleotides) under uncultured bacterium. RNAcentral describes it as "partial 16S ribosomal RNA". It matches the Rfam family "Bacterial small subunit ribosomal RNA", at positions 523 to 918 of the family's 1533-position model. The record is from RNAcentral.